AGAGUUUGAUCCUGGCUCAGAGCGAACGCUGGCGGCAGGCUUAACACAUGCAAGUCGAGCGGGCGUAGCAAUACGUCAGCGGCAGACGGGUGAGUAACGCGUGGGAACAUACCUUUUGGUUCGGAACAACACAGGGAAACUUGUGCUAAUACCGGAUAAGCCCUUACGGGGAAAGAUUUGUCGCCGAAAGAUCGGCCCGCGUCUGAUUAGCUAGUUGGUGAGGUAACGGCUCACCAAGGCGACGAUCAGUAGCUGGUCUGAGAGGAUGAUCAGCCACAUUGGGACUGAGACACGGCCCAAACUCCUACGGGAGGCAGCAGUGGGGAAUAUUGGACAAUGGGCGCAAGCCUGAUCCAGCCAUGCCGCGUGAGUGAUGAAGGCCCUAGGGUUGUAAAGCUCUUUUGUGCGGGAAGAUAAUGACGGUACCGCAAGAAUAAGCCCCGGCUAACUUCGUGCCAGCAGCCGCGGUAAUACGAAGGGGGCUAGCGUUGCUCGGAAUCACUGGGCGUAAAGGGUGCGUAGGCGGGUCUUUAAGUCAGGGGUGAAAUCCUGGAGCUCAACUCCAGAACUGCCUUUGAUACUGAAGAUCUUGAGUUCGGGAGAGGUGAGUGGAACUGCGAGUGUAGAGGUGAAAUUCGUAGAUAUUCGCAAGAACACCAGUGGCGAAGGCGGCUCACUGGCCCGAUACUGACGCUGAGGCACGAAAGCGUGGGGAGCAAACAGGAUUAGAUACCCUGGUAGUCC
This 744-nucleotide ribosomal RNA is filed under the name uncultured bacterium. RNAcentral's name for it is "bacterial SSU rRNA". It matches the Rfam family "Bacterial small subunit ribosomal RNA", at positions 8 to 796 of the family's 1533-position model. The record is from RNAcentral.